UUUAAGUAUCCAAUUAAAAGA
This 21-nucleotide non-coding RNA is filed under the name Caenorhabditis elegans. The record is from RNAcentral. Lineage: Eukaryota; Metazoa; Nematoda; Chromadorea; Rhabditida; Rhabditidae.